UAAAUUGUUCAUUAAUUGUGAACUGGAAUGAAGGAAAAAAUGGUUUAAAUCUGUCUUAAAUACUAUAUGUUAAAUUUAAAUUUUUUGUAAAAAUACAAAAAUUUCUUUUAGGGACAAGAAGACCCUAUAAAGCUUAUCUGAUAUUAUAACAUAAUUUGUUAUUAAAAUCAAUUUGAUUGGGGCAAUAAUUUAUAAACAAUUAAUAUAAAUUUAAUUUAAAUAAUUAUAUAUUAAUAUAAUGAUCCAUUAAUAAUGAAAAAUGAUUAAGUUACUUUAGGGAUAACCGGGUAAUUUUUUUUUGAAAGUUCUUAUUAAUAAUAAAGUUUAUUACCUCGAUGUUGAAUUAAUUUAAUUAAAUGGUGAAGUAGCCAUUUUUAAUUUGACUGUUCGCCAAUUAAAUAAUUACAUGAUCUGAGUUC
This 419-nucleotide ribosomal RNA is filed under the name Aoraki denticulata. Its description in RNAcentral is "partial 16S ribosomal RNA". The stretch from base 279 to 419 matches the Rfam family "Bacterial large subunit ribosomal RNA", at positions 2473 to 2612 of the family's 2925-position model. The record is from RNAcentral. Lineage: Eukaryota; Metazoa; Arthropoda; Arachnida; Opiliones; Pettalidae.